Molecule: ribosomal RNA, 337 nt
Filed under: Mantidactylus sp. 48 MV-2009
Lineage: Eukaryota; Metazoa; Chordata; Amphibia; Anura; Mantellidae
Description: partial 16S ribosomal RNA
Rfam family: Bacterial large subunit ribosomal RNA
Source: RNAcentral
UGUACUGUCUCCUUUUUCUAAUCAGUGAAACUAAUCUCCCCGUGAAGAAGCGGGGAUACUACUAUAAGACGAGAAGACCCCAUGGAGCUUUAAACCCAACUACACCCCUAUUUACAACAACUACUUAACCAAUUGGACACUGUAUGCUUGGUUUUAGGUUGGGGCGACCACGGAGUAAAAAAUAACCUCCACGAUAAAUGGGCUUACCCCCUUAUCUAAGAGCCACACCUCUAAGAAUUAAAAUAUUAAUAUAAUAUGAUCCUUUCUUGAUCAACGGACCAAGUUACCCUGGGGAUAACAGCGCAAUCCAUUUCAAGAGCCCCUAUCGACAAAUGGG